CUGAACCAGCCAAGUAGCGUGAAGGAUGACUGCCCUAUGGGUUGUAAACUUCUUUUAUAAAGGAAUAAAGUCGGGUAUGUAUACCCGUUUGCAUGUACUUUAUGAAUAAGGAUCGGCUAACUCCGUGCCAGCAGCCGCGGUAAUACGGAGGAUCCGAGCGUUAUCCGGAUUUAUUGGGUUUAAAGGGAGCGUAGGCGGAUUAUUAAGUCAGUUGUGAAAGUUUGCGG
Molecule: ribosomal RNA, 227 nt
Filed under: uncultured bacterium
Lineage: Bacteria
Description: partial 16S ribosomal RNA
Rfam family: Bacterial small subunit ribosomal RNA
Source: RNAcentral